GAAAUGCGAUAAGUAGUGUGAAUUGCAGAAUUCAGUGAAUCAUCGAAUCUUUGAACGCACAUUGCGCCCCUUGGUAUUCCAUGGGGCAUGCCAGUUCGAGCGUCAUUUGUACCCUCAAGCUCUGCUUGGUGUUGGGUGUUUGUCCCCGUCUCCGCGCGUGGACUCGCCCCAAAGUGAUUGGCAGCCGGCGUACUGGUCCCGGAGCGCAGCACAUGUCGCGCAAACGAGUGCCUUGGUACGGCGGCGUCCAUAAGCCCCUCUCUCACGCUCUUGACCUCGGAUCAGGUAGGGAUACCCGCUGAACUUAAGC
This 310-nucleotide unclassified non-coding RNA is filed under the name plant metagenome. RNAcentral describes it as "partial contains 5.8S ribosomal RNA, internal transcribed spacer 2, and large subunit ribosomal RNA". The stretch from base 1 to 105 matches the Rfam family "5.8S ribosomal RNA", at positions 50 to 154 of the family's 154-position model. The record is from RNAcentral.